AUUGAACGCUGGCGGCAUGCCUUACACAUGCAAGUCGAACGGCAGCACGGGAGCAAUCCUGGUGGCGAGUGGCGAACGGGUGAGUAAUAUAUCGGAACGUGCCCAGUCGUGGGGAUAACGUAGCGAAAGCUACGCUAAUACCGCAUACGAUCUAUGGAUGAAAGCGGGGGAUCGCAAGACCUCGCGCGAUUGGAGCGGCCGAUAUCAGAUUAGGUAGUUGGUGAGGUAAAGGCUCACCAAGCCGACGAUCUGUAGCUGGUCUGAGAGGACGACCAGCCACACUGGGACUGAGACACGGCCCAGACUCCUACGGGAGGCAGCAGUGGGAAUUUUGGACAAUGGGCGCAAGCCUGAUCCAGCAAUGCCGCGUGCAGGAUGAAGGCCUC
Molecule: ribosomal RNA, 386 nt
Filed under: uncultured bacterium
Lineage: Bacteria
Description: bacterial SSU rRNA
Rfam family: Bacterial small subunit ribosomal RNA
Source: RNAcentral